AGUGAACGCUGGCGGUAGGCCUAACACAUGCAAGUCGAACGGCAGCACAGUAAGAGCUUGCUCUUACGGGUGGCGAGUGGCGGACGGGUGAGGAAUACAUCGGAAUCUACUUUUUCGUGGGGGAUAACGUAGGGAAACUUACGCUAAUACCGCAUACGACCUACGGGUGAAAGCAGGGGAUCUUCGGACCUUGCGCGAUUGAAUGAGCCGAUGUCGGAUUAGCUAGUUGGCGGGGUAAAGGCCCACCAAGGCGACGAUCCGUAGCUGGUCUGAGAGGAUGAUCAGCCACACUGGAACUGCGACACGGUCCAGACUCCUACGGGAGGCAGCAGUGGGGAAUAUUGGCCAAUGGGCGCAAGCCUGAUCCAGCCAUACCGCGUGGGUGAAGAAGGCCUUCGGGUUGUAAAGCCCUUUUGUUGGGAAAGAAAAGCAGCAGGUUAAUACCCCGCUGUUCUGACGGUACCCAAAGAAUAAGCACCGGCUAACUUCGUG
This 492-nucleotide ribosomal RNA is filed under the name uncultured bacterium. RNAcentral describes it as "partial 16S ribosomal RNA". It matches the Rfam family "Bacterial small subunit ribosomal RNA", at positions 29 to 507 of the family's 1533-position model. The record is from RNAcentral.